Molecule: ribosomal RNA, 462 nt
Filed under: uncultured bacterium
Lineage: Bacteria
Description: bacterial SSU rRNA
Rfam family: Bacterial small subunit ribosomal RNA
Source: RNAcentral
ACGAACGCUGGCGGCGUGCCUAACACAUGCAAGUCGAGCGAGGAGAGUUCCUUCGGGAACAAACCUAGCGGCGGACGGGUGAGUAACACGUGGGCAACCUGCCUUGUAGAGGGAAUAGCCUUCCGAAAGGAAGAUUAAUACCGCAUAACAUUACAGUUUCGCAUGAAACAGUAAUUAAAGGAGUAAUCCGCUACAAGAUGGGCCCGCGGCGCAUUAGCUAGUUGGUGAGGUAACGGCUCACCAAGGCGACGAUGCGUAGCCGACCUGAGAGGGUGAUCGGCCACAUUGGGACUGAGACACGGCCCAGACUCCUACGGGAGGCAGCAGUGGGGAAUAUUGCACAAUGGGGGAAACCCUGAUGCAGCAACGCCGCGUGAGUGAUGAAGGUUUUCGGAUCGUAAAGCUCUGUCUUCGGGGACGAUAAUGACGGUACCCGAGGAGGAAGCCACGGCUAACUACGUG